GGGUUGUGAGGUUAAGCGACUAAGCGUACACGGUGGAUGCCCUGGCAGUCAGAGGCGAUGAAGGACGUGCUAAUCUGCGAUAAGCGCCGGUAAGGUGAUAUGAACCGUUAUAACCGGCGAUUUCCGAAUGGGGAAACCCAGUGUGAUUCGUCACACUAUCAUUAACUGAAUCCAUAGGUUAAUGAGGCGAACCGGGGGAACUGAAACAUCUAAGUACCCCGAGGAAAAGAAAUCAACCGAGAUUCCCCCAGUAGCGGCGAGCGAACGGGGAGGAGCCCAGAGCCUGAAUCAGCAUGUGUGUUAGUGGAAGCGUCUGGAAAGGCGCGCGAUACAGGGUGACAGCCCCGUACACAAAAGCGCAUGUGCUGUGAGCUCGAUGAGUAGGGCGGGACACGUGGUAUCCUGUCUGAAUAUGGGGGGACCAUCCUCCAAGGCUAAAUACUCCUGACUGACCGAUAGUGAACCAGUACCGUGAGGGAAAGGCGAAAAGAACCCCGGCGAGGGGAGUGAAAAAGAACCUGAAACCGUGUACGUACAAGCAGUGGGAGCACAGGUUUACCUGUGUGACUGCGUACCUUUUGUAUAAUGGGUCAGCGACUUAUAUUCUGUAGCAAGGUUAACCGUAUAGGGGAGCCGGAGGGAAACCGAGUCUUAACCGGGCGUUAAGUUGCAGGGUAUAGACCCGAAACCCGGUGAUCUAGCCAUGGGCAGGUUGAAGGUUGGGUAACACUAACUGGAGGACCGAACCGACUAAUGUUGAAAAAUUAGCGGAUGACCUGUGGCUGGGGGUGAAAGGCCAAUCAAACCGGGAGAUAGCUGGUUCUCCCCGAAAGCUAUUUAGGUAGCGCCUCGUGAAUUCAUCUCCGGGGGUAGAGCACUGUUUCGGCUAGGGGGCCAUCCCGGCUUACCAACCCGAUGCAAACUGCGAAUACCGGAGAAUGUUAUCACGGGAGACACACGGCGGGUGCUAACGUCCGUCGUGAAGAGGGAAACAACCCAGACCGCCAGCUAAGGUCCCAAAGUCAUGGUUAAG
RNAcentral lists this ribosomal RNA (1033 nucleotides) under Salmonella enterica subsp. enterica serovar Bareilly. RNAcentral's name for it is "partial 23S ribosomal RNA". It matches the Rfam family "Bacterial large subunit ribosomal RNA", at positions 1 to 1063 of the family's 2925-position model. The record is from RNAcentral. Lineage: Bacteria; Pseudomonadati; Pseudomonadota; Gammaproteobacteria; Enterobacterales; Enterobacteriaceae.